GGGAGCUAGAGUAAUACUCACCUUCUACUUCCUCAUCUUCAAAGAACGACGUCUCAGACUCGCCAUCAAAAAACAGAAAAGGAGCAGCUUCUUGGUCUUUCUGGGGUUUCCUCUCAUUCAUUCCUAUAACCGUCACGAUCUUUCUCUGGAUAUAGUUCUCGACUGUGUCACGCUCAACUUCUUGUGUCUGAAAUCCAAGAACAGAUAGGCAAUCUCCUUGGAAGUCUAAGUCAGUAGAGGAGAAUAUUAGGCCUGCUAUUGAUCUUGCAAGGUCAG
Molecule: long non-coding RNA, 276 nt
Organism: Arabidopsis thaliana (thale cress)
Lineage: Eukaryota; Viridiplantae; Streptophyta; Magnoliopsida; Brassicales; Brassicaceae
Product: other RNA
Exons: 1
Source: RefSeq